This 253-nucleotide ribosomal RNA is filed under the name uncultured bacterium. RNAcentral describes it as "partial 16S ribosomal RNA". It matches the Rfam family "Bacterial small subunit ribosomal RNA", at positions 524 to 776 of the family's 1533-position model. The record is from RNAcentral.
UACGUAGGGGGCAAGCGUUGUCCGGAAUCAUUGGGCGUAAAGAGCGUGUAGGCGGCCAGAUAAGUCCGCUGUGAAAUCUCGAGGCUCAACUUCGAGCUGUCGGUGGAAACUGUCUGGCUAGAGUCCGGAAGAGGAGAAUGGAAUUCCUGGUGUAGCGGUGAAAUGCGCAGAUAUCAGGAAGAACACCCGUGGCGAAGGCGCUCAUCUGGCCCAAUACUGACGCUGAGGCGCGAAAGCUAGGGGAGCAAACGGG